AUUGAACGCUGGCGGCAGGCCUAACACAUGCAAGUCGAGCGGAUGAAGGGAGCUUGCUCCUGGAUUCAGCGGCGGACGGGUGAGUAAUGCCUAGGAAUCUGCCUGGUAGUGGGGGAUAACGUCCGGAAACGGGCGCUAAUACCGCAUACGUCCUGAGGGAGAAAGUGGGGGAUCUUCGGACCUCACGCUAUCAGAUGAGCCUAGGUCGGAUUAGCUAGUUGGUGGGGUAAAGGCCUACCAAGGCGACGAUCCGUAACUGGUCUGAGAGGAUGAUCAGUCACAUUGGAACUGAGACACGGUCCAGACUCCUACGGGAGGCAGCAGUGGGGAAUAUUGGACAAUGGGCGAAAGCCUGAUCCAGCCAUGCCGCGUGUGUGAAGAAGGUCUUCGGAUUGUAAAGCACUUUAAGUUGGGAGGAAGGGCAGUAAGUUAAUACCUUGCUGUUUUGACGUUACCAACAGAAUAAGCACCGGCUAACUUCGU
Molecule: ribosomal RNA, 483 nt
Filed under: uncultured bacterium
Lineage: Bacteria
Description: partial 16S ribosomal RNA
Rfam family: Bacterial small subunit ribosomal RNA
Source: RNAcentral